This 454-nucleotide ribosomal RNA is filed under the name uncultured Leptolinea sp. RNAcentral describes it as "bacterial SSU rRNA". It matches the Rfam family "Bacterial small subunit ribosomal RNA", at positions 920 to 1378 of the family's 1533-position model. Lineage: Bacteria; Bacillati; Chloroflexota; Anaerolineae; Anaerolineales; Anaerolineaceae. The record is from RNAcentral.
GACGGCCCGCACAAGCAGCGGAGCGUGUGGUUUAAUUCGAUGUUACACGAAGAACCUUACCAGGGUUUGACAUGCAAGUGGUAGGAAGCCGAAAGGUGACCGACCCUUCGGGGAGCUUGCACAGGUGCUGCAUGGCUGUCGUCAGCUCGUGUCGUGAGAUGUUCGGUUAAGUCCGCUAACGAGCGCAACCCUCGCUGUGUGUUAUAUGUGUCACACGGGACUGCCGGUCUUAAGCCGGAGGAAGGUGGGGAUGAUGUCAAGUCAGCAUGGCCUUUAUAUCCUGGGCUACACACACGCUACAAUGGCCAACACAAUAGGUUGCUAAGCCGCGAGGUGGCGCCAAUCCAUAAAGUUGGUCUCAGUUCAGAUUGUAGGCUGCAACCCGCCUGCAUGAAGAUGGAGUUGCUAGUAACCGCAGGUCAGCUAUACUGCGGUGAAUACGUUCCCGGGGCUU